RNAcentral lists this ribosomal RNA (301 nucleotides) under uncultured bacterium. RNAcentral's name for it is "partial 16S ribosomal RNA". It matches the Rfam family "Bacterial small subunit ribosomal RNA", at positions 509 to 807 of the family's 1533-position model. The record is from RNAcentral.
CAGCAGCCGCGGUAAUACGAAGGGGGCUAGCGUUGCUCGGAAUUACUGGGCGUAAAGGGAGCGUAGGCGGGUCGUUAAGUUGGGGGUGGAAGCCCGGGGCUCAACCUCGGAACUGCCUUCAACACUGGCGAUCUUGAGUAUGAGAGAGGUGUGUGGAACUCCGAGUGUAGAGGUGAAAUUCGUAGAUAUUCGCAAGAACACCGGUGGCGUAGGCGGCUCACUGGCCCGGUACUGACGCUGAGGCACGAAAGCGUGGGGAGCAAACAGGAUUAGAUACCCCCGUAGUCCCUGUCUCUUAUAC